CUUACACUUUUCCUGCUCACUUCUCCGCCUACCACAGCAAAAUCGAAGAGGCACAGGCCCAAUUCAAUGCCCCUCAUAGAGCAGCACUGGGGACCUGAUGCACAUGCACAGCGAGCGCCAUGCACAUAUCUGUUUUCAAUGCGUUCCUAUGAGUUUUAGCCUCAAGUGACCAAGUUAUACUCAGGCAGUGCUGCAGUAGCUCCUCUAUCUUAAUAAACAGCAAUUUACAGGACAGGGUUAUUAUGUUAUUAUUAUUAUUAUGUUAUUUAUAUAGCACCAACAAAUUCCGCAGCACUUUACAAUGGGUGGACGAACAGACAUGUAGUUGUAACCAGACAAGUUGGACACACAGGAACAGAGGGGUUGAGGGCCCUGCUCAAUGAACUUAGAUGCUAGAGGGAGUGGGGUAAAGUGACACAAAAGAUAAGGAUAGUAUUAGACUAAUGAUAGUAGCAAGAGAGGAAUCAGUUGGGAGCUAUUAACAGUUUAAUUGGGUUAAAAAGACAUGGGCACUGCACCCAG
Non-coding RNA from Pelobates cultripes (western spadefoot toad), 522 nucleotides. NCBI's taxonomy places the organism in Eukaryota, Metazoa, Chordata, Amphibia, Anura, Pelobatidae. The record is from the annotation of a GenBank genome assembly.